UAUAAAGUGGAUGCCCAAUAGAGAAGCCUUGUGAUGAACUUGAUGCAAGUUGUAUGAAGCAUGAUGCCUUGCAUUUUAGCAAACAAUAAAAUUAAGGUUCCAACUGCCAUAUUAGAAGGCAAGCUUGACCAGUUACACUCACAAGAAGAAGUCAAACAUGGAACCUUAAUUAGAAAAUCAAGAAAUUGAGAGCUUUGUGAAGAUAUUCAAAGGUGUUGGUCAUGGAUGGGCUUCAAGAUAUAGCGAGGAUAAUGAAUCUGUUGAGAGGAGUGCUGAGGUGGCCAAGCAUGUGAUUUUUUAAGCGGGUCGAGUGCAUUGUGCUUUGGAGUAGAAUGACGAGUUAGCUUCUGAAGUUGGAGACUUUACUUGAUGAUAGCGUGGGGCAAAAUGUCGAGU
Molecule: long non-coding RNA, 396 nt
Organism: Helianthus annuus (common sunflower)
Lineage: Eukaryota; Viridiplantae; Streptophyta; Magnoliopsida; Asterales; Asteraceae
Exons: 4
Source: RefSeq, a predicted model, not a curated record